UACGAAGGGAGCAAGCGUUAUUCGGAUUUACUGGGCGUAAAGGGCGUGUAGGCGGUUAACUAAGUCAGUUGUUAAAUACCAUGGCUUAACUAUGGAUCGGCAAUUGAUACUGGUUAACUAGAGGGCAAGAGAGAGGAGUGGAAUUCUCGGAGUAGCGGUAAAAUGCGUAGAUCUCGAGAGGAACACCGAUGGCGAAGGCAGCUCUUUGGCUUGUACCUGACGCUGAGACGCGAAAGCGUGGGGAG
Molecule: ribosomal RNA, 245 nt
Filed under: uncultured bacterium
Lineage: Bacteria
Description: partial 16S ribosomal RNA
Rfam family: Bacterial small subunit ribosomal RNA
Source: RNAcentral